Long non-coding RNA from Melospiza melodia melodia, 360 nucleotides. RefSeq lists it as uncharacterized. The transcript is spliced from 4 exons. NCBI's taxonomy places the organism in Eukaryota, Metazoa, Chordata, Aves, Passeriformes, Passerellidae. The record is from RefSeq and is a predicted model, not a curated record.
ACUGGAACUGCUCCGACUGAGCUCAGUGUAUGCAAGAUGAGACUCGCCUGGCUGGCUGUUACAGAGUGCAGAACACUUUUAUUUCUGAUGAGACUUCCUGGUCAGGUCAGUUUUGCCUGUGGAAAGUUUCUGUGCAGAACAGGAUCCUUGGCAAGAAUGCACCUCUGCCAGAUGGAGGCUAUGUGAAGCCACUGUCCCAUUGUUUGUCAUGCAAAAGUUUUAUCUUGCACUUGAUGUGGGAUGGCUGCAGCUGUUGAAACAAUCUAGCUUCCUGAAAUACACACAGUGGAACAGCCUCAACAAGAGUAAUGAGGAAAGAGAUGUCCUCAAAUGGCCCAGACUUACCUCUGGAAGGUGGGG